AUUUGUACGUUACCUACAGAAGAAGCACCGGCUAACUCCGUCGCCAGCAGCCGCGGUAAUACGGGAGGGUGCGAGCGUUAAUCGGAAUUACUGGGCGUAAAGCGCAUGCAGGCGGCCUGUUAAGUCAGAUGUGAAAGCCCGGGGCUUAACCUCGGAAAUUGCAUUUGAAACUGGCAGGCUAGAGUCUUGUAGAGGGGGGUAGGAAGUUUCAGGUGUAGCGGUGAAAUGCGUAGAGAUCUGAAGGAAUACCAGUGGCGAAGGCGGCCCCCUCGGACAAAGACUGACGCUCAGAUGCGAAAGCGUGGGGAGCAAACAGGAUUAGAUACCCUGGUAG
This 334-nucleotide ribosomal RNA is filed under the name uncultured bacterium. RNAcentral's name for it is "bacterial SSU rRNA". It matches the Rfam family "Bacterial small subunit ribosomal RNA", at positions 466 to 793 of the family's 1533-position model. The record is from RNAcentral.